GCUUUGGGAAUCCAGGCAGCACAGCUCAUGCAAGGAACGUAGGAAUGUUGCACUGCUUUGUGAGCCUGGGAACGGGUUUUUAUUGUAUAUGUAUUUAGAUUUUGUCUUUGUGUCUUAGUUGUUGACGUUUAUUUUUAUUAAAAUAAUGGUGAGGUUGAAAUAUGGAAUAAAUACAAUUAGGUUUUAUGGUAACCAUCACCUGGUCAGUCACUGUGUCGCCUGAUAUCCAGUAAGUUGCACCAGCUCCUAAUCGACAUACGUGUCUGAGUGCUGGCUCUAUGUUUAGAUGGCUUUAAUAUUUUUGGACACUUCGUAGUUGAGUUUCCCCUGCAGGCCAUGGGAUGAUACAGUUGCAAGAGAACAGUGAUUAAAUGUAUAUAGCUCACAUUCUCCACCGCCCAGUCUUUUCUCCCACUUAUACCUGAAAUCAGUGUAAGCAUUUCUGACUAUGUAUAUGCUGUUGAAUGGCAUUAAAUUUGGAUAUUUUUCUUAAUUAUGCAAAAUAUUGGAGGUCCGACUAAUGUUCUGGUGGAUAAUACAAGGUCUUUGAAUACUGGAUUACUUGUCACAUUAAACUUCAUUCUCUGAGCGUGGUGUUUCUAAAGAAUAGAUGUGUUAAAAAUGGUUUUGAUUUACACUUCCAUUUCCUGAUUAGAUAUAGAAAUACCUUCUGUAAACGACUCCCGUUUGUUGAUUGAAAGACCGUAAAUUGGGAGAGUUUCCAUCUGAAAAAUACUGUCCUGGGCACCAGAAGCCUGGUGUGAUCUCAGCACGGAGGCCCUCCGCCGGCGGCUCUGGGGGUCAGGAGCAGGGCGCGUGCGGCAGCCUCCCCCGGUGCACUUUAUUGCCUGAUCUUUUUUGACUUUGAGCCUUUUUAGUUAGUUUCAGUAAUAAAAUUUAAGACGUUUUGGAAUUACGUUUUAUGUAACAGACUUUGACUUAUUAUUUAAAUAUGUGUGAUGUAAUUUUUUUCUUUGAAUCCCAUAAACCUUUUUUGAUU
Molecule: long non-coding RNA, 1000 nt
Filed under: Canis lupus familiaris (dog)
Lineage: Eukaryota; Metazoa; Chordata; Mammalia; Carnivora; Canidae
Description: lncRNA (ENSCAFG00000059099.1, ENSCAFG00805005686.1, ENSCAFG00845025886.1)
Source: RNAcentral